Molecule: long non-coding RNA, 8495 nt
Filed under: Gossypium barbadense (sea-island cotton)
Lineage: Eukaryota; Viridiplantae; Streptophyta; Magnoliopsida; Malvales; Malvaceae
Description: long non-coding RNA (GBAR_LNC022119)
Source: RNAcentral
CCUGAAUCAGCUUCAUCAUAGCUACCCAUUUUUUAGAAGUCGAGACAGGAUGGGAAUUGGCCAAACUUGAUGUUUUAGAUGGUUUUUUUUGUUGGAAGUUGGAAAGCAAUAAACUUGAACUAAAGUGAAGACAAAUUCAAUGAAGCAUGUUUGGCUUUAUAAUGAAAAUUAAAAUAGGGUAAAGCACCGAAAUUAGGAACAAUAAAGCGAUAGCAUCCUAUACCAAACCCCAAGAAACAAGCAAACGAAGCUACAAUGGGAAUGGAAAACUUUAUGUUAUACUUUGAAUUGUAGAAAAUAAUGAUACAAGGACAGAAGAGAGGAAACAGAACAAAAUCAAAUCGUGACCAACCAAAAGAUGAGUGUGUCGAUGACAGAAAGUUCGAAACAUAAACAGCCCCACAAGUUCCUACAGGAACUAGACAGCAGAACUAUAUGAAACAAUGUAUUCACAUUGAAGUUUCGGAUAGAUGCCACGUACAAGCCAUGUUGCCAUUACCUCAUAUGCUCUUUGUGUCAAAUGAGCUCCAUCCCAACUAAGCUGUUCAUUAGGGUUUUCGCAUACCGGUACUUUUGGAUCUCCGCACCAACUUGAUAAGCCAGAAUUGUAGUCUUCCCCAAUUCCGCAGCAAGCUUUUUGCAAUGAUGUUGGAUCAAAACCAGAUGAGAUUUUUCGAAAACUCAGAACAUGACUAGAACCAUUCACAGUACGAUCACAUAAACUUAUGGAUGCAAAUAAAUCAGACUUACCAAGCAGAUCAGCUUUGCUCAAAAGCCACAGGAAUGCAUUGUAGUAGUCACCGUAGACAACGAUUACAUCUGGAUGUUUUUCUUUUAGCUGAUCAGCAAUAGCUUGUUGAAGAAGAUGAUUAUGAUAGAUUGAAAAAAAGGCUUGACUUCGUCCCUUUCGUAUACCUACUCUAAGACAAAAAAAAAUCAUUUUAUUAAUUAAGCUUUUUGUUUAUUAAUAAUUUGUUUUUUUUUCAAAUUCAUUAAAUACAAUUAAAAACAUUUGGAAGAAAAAUCUAAUGGUAGACUAGAUAUAGUUAAGAUAAUAUCUAACAGAGAGAUCGAUGUUCGAGUAUUUGUUGAAGUUCCUACGUAACUUUUAAUAAUUUUACAAACGGAUAGAGAUAAUAGUUUAUUCGAACAUUUAUUUUUAAUAGAGUGAAGAAACCCAAUUAUUUAAUUUAUGGGUAAACUACAUAAAGGGUAACACAAGUAUAAAAAGUUACAAAAUGUUCAUCUAACUAUUCAAUAUUGUUUUUUUAGAUCACCCGGCUAACGGUGGCUACUUUUAAAAUUUGAAUAAUAGAAAUUUAACCCUCAACACUUAUAUAUUGUAUCAAUUUAGUCUUGAUUCUAAAAAAAAAAUUUAACUCUCAACAUUUACACAUUGUAUAAUUUGGUCUCUCUUUUUGUAAUUUUGCUUUUCUUUGUGACAUUUAGUGUUAAUUUUAAAAGAAUAAGAAAAGAAAAAAAAUAUUAUCUUAGAUUUCUGGGUGCUCCUAUUUUUUAUAUAUUUUUAAUCAAAUUUAACUGAUAAAUUUAUUUUUAACUUUUUAAGUGAAAGGGUAAAGAAAAACAAAGUUGUACUAGAAAAAAGAAGAUCAAACUACCCAAUGUAUAAAUGUUGAUAGUUAAUUAUUUCUGGAAUCAAGAUUAAAUUGACAUAAUUUAUAAAUAUUGAGGGUUAAAGUUGAUAUUAUGCGAAUAUUAAAAGUUGCCACCGAUGAUCAGUAACCAAAAAAGACAAAACUGAAUAACUUAGUGAUCAUUUUGUAACUCUUCAUAAAUUUUAGUACAAAAUUAAGUGAAUGUUAACGUGUUUGAGGCAAAUCUCGAUGAACAUGUCAUGCAACGCAUAGCUAAAGGGGUAGAUAAGAGCUUUAGACCUCUUUUAGUUAAAUGGUAUCAUUAUGAUUAUAGUGCCUCUUAAAUGUCAAUUGUUUAAUUUAGUUCCUUUCUAGCUUUUAUUUAAAUGGAACAAUUGUAAUUUAGACCCUUUUCAAAUGUUUAAAUUUAAUUUCAGUUAUUUUAACGUAAAAUAUUUUAGCUUUGUCCCCUAUUUUUUUAAUUUUAUCUUGGCUCUUCAUCACAUAAUUCAUGACUGACAUAUAUGCCAUAGGUCAUAAGAUUGAGUCAAACUAUGCAAAAACUCUUUAGUUUCACCUGUUUGAGCACUUCAAGGCGUUCUCACUCUCUAAACCCACCAAGGAUCUAGACAAAGUCGGGAGACAAAACUCCGACUGGGGACAAUACUGGACUUGCUUAUAUCUGCUUUAUAGUUGUAUUUGUAGCAUACAAUGUAUAUUUUGUCAAAUUUGAAUACUUCUUGUUUGCUUGUCUAUUAUUCUUUUGAUAGAAGAUACAACUUUCUUUAUUUGUAUGUCCAUAUAAUUUGUUACAUUCGAUCUGUGAACCAUAUUUGACCUUCAUAUUGUCAACCAUGCCACUUGUUCAAUGGAAAAUUACCUUUGUUGAUUUGUUCUUGGUUGACAUUAAGUUCAAGGUUCGAAUCAGGAAAACCAAUCUCUCUCCCCUUAUUAUAUUUAUGUAUAUACAUGUAUUUGACCUUCAUGUUUGUUGGUGAGAAAAUGGUACAGAGUAAAUUGAAUUUUGCUUUUUGUUUGGUGUGUUUCCUAGGGAAAGCUUUAUGGAAGCCAACAAGAAUGGAAAUUUGGUUGAUGUUGAUCGGAAGGCGUUCGAAACUUGGAAAAAAUGAGCGAGGAGGUAUAGGUCCCUUGCUCCUCCCACUUUGUCAUAACUUUUCAUUGGAAGUUUUCUGUUGUAAUUUUGUAUUGAGUAUCGUCCCGAGUAUUUUCUUUAAUAGGAGAGGAAACCAUAUGUUACUCAGCCUACAUGAAGGAUAUGACUGAAGCGGAUAAAAAUAUUGUAAAGGUAACUGGGAUUCAGAGUUUAUGGAUGCUAAUUUCGUAUAAUUUAAACUUUCUAGAGCGACCUAAAUAUGUUGUUGGUGUAAUUGGUGAAAUUGUUUGUUGUGCUUUCAUAGCAAUGCUGAUACAUUCUGAAUAUUUGAUCAUGGAACUUGUUCCGUAGAUUCUUAAUUCAGAACUAUGAAUAGGGGCAUACUAAGGCAUACUAAAGAUGCAUGAUUUUGAACUCAUGAUCCUCUCAUCUUUACAUAAUCUAUGUUGCCACUCGGUUUUCUCCCUAUCGUUGUCAAUUAUUGUCAUCACAAUUGCUUUUCAAUGAUUUUUUCAGUUAGAAUUAGUAUCUUUUCCUUGUUUUGUCCACAAAAGCAAGAAUGAUAUAUGAUAGCUGUGAUUUAUCUGACAAUUAGCUUCUCUAAAUCUUUCACCCUAAUCAAUUGUCAAAAAUUUGCUGUUCUAGUGCUUAUUGGCUUCUCGUUUUUAACUUGAAAGUUAACUUAUCUAUUGUUCAAACAUCAAAAUGGAACAAAGUUUUGCAUCAUAUUCGAAGUUAUUAAUGAGUUAUUUUCUUUAGGUGGAUGAUGAGGCUGAUUCAGCAAUGGUUGGGAAAUUUGAUGAGGUUUGUAUAUAUGUUUGGAGCACAAAAAACAUAGCAAAUAUAGAUAAAUUUACGUAUUGUAUAUCUACUUGUGCUUAAACUAAGUCAUUCCCCUGCCAGUUGAGGCUCUGAAACCUUUGGGCACUGAAGUUCGAGUUUCACUAUGUAAAUCAUGUGUUGGUUCUCCCCCAGAUUUAUUUUGUUUACUUAGUUAGAGUUGAGUUAGCUUCAGUGAAUGUAACGAUUGAUUAUGUUAGUUCCCCCCUCUUUUGCCACCUCUUCUUCGUUGAAUUUACAGUUCUAUGAAGAUUAUGGGUACUAUGAAACAUCUGAUGAUGAUGGUGAACCAUACCACUCUGGAGGAUUCAAGAGCUUAAACACAACUGAACAGUAAUCGAAGUCUUCCCCACAUUUCAGUUCAAUUACCUAACUUAACCGCAAUCAUAUAUUGUGCACAAGACCGAUAAGUUAUGGCUUUCAUGAAGCAGGGAAACUGCUAUCGAGGGCGGAACUUGAAGAUGUUCUGGUUUUUGUUUCAUGUCAAUGGACCUUAUCCAACUGGCAAUGGUGGAAAAAAAAAGUUUGCCAUUUUGAUUCAUUUGUUAAGGCAAAUCAUUUGGCUAUUGUAAAGUAGUUAUAGGGGUUUUAGCCUUCGAAGCAGAUUGGUAUUUGUUUUGCUAUUUGGCAGUGGCAGUGGCAAUGGCAAUGGGGGUUUCACAGGUGAGUGGCAAGGGCUAUAGAGGAAGCAUCAUUUUGUCUAUAUUUUUUUAGUUUUAUGGAAUUUGGUUGAUGGAAUAGGUGAUAUGUUGGGUUGGAUAAAAUAAUCUAUAUUUUAUUGAAGUUAUGUUUGUUUUUAUCUGUUAGAAAAUUGAAGAAUGAUAUUAGAAAAUAUUUAGUCAAAUAAUUUGUAUUAAUAAUAGUUAAUUAUGCCUUUGUGGCUAAGCUCAUGGAAAUCAUUUAAAAAUAAAAUCUAAUAAAUAAUUAAACAUAUGAUUUAAAAUUAAUAAUAAUAACAAAGUAAUAUGUACGAAAUUUAAAUAGGUAAAUACAUUUGAUUAAGCUUUAUGUUCUGUUCUAAAUUUGGUUUCUUAAUACUUCUUCUGAAUAAGUUGGUGUCGAGUUGAUUCAUGAUACCAAUUUAGUCACAUGGUUAAAUAACUAUAUAGAUACAAAAGUUAAAUAUUUAAGAUGAUUGAUGCCUUCUGAACAUAACACCAUUUAAAUUUAUAUAAAUGUAUGAAAAUACGAAAAAUACUCAAUAACAAUAUUUAUUAAUAAUUUAAAUUUUGAUUUUUUUUAGUUUUCUUUUAUUCAAUUGGUGUCAAGUUAAAUCGUGACGCUGAUUCAGUUACAAUAUAUAGAAUAUGACGUGAGUGACAGACCAAUUUUAUUUAAAAUUUUAAUAUAAAAUAACAAUAAAGGUUUGAUUGAAACGGAAAAAUUAAAGAUUUAAGUUGCUUGAUGUCUUAUGUAAAGGUUUAAAUCGCAUCAUUUGCUUAUUUCCUUAAGUUUAAGUUGUUCCUUAUAACUUUUAUAAAAAUGUGUGAAAAUACAAAAACACCCUAUGAUAAUGUUUAUUAAUUGUUUAAAAUUUGAGUUUUUAGUACUUCUCUAAUUAAAUUAGUGUCGAGUUGAUUCGUAACAUCAACUCAAUCACACUUAAAUUAAAGUUUCCAUACAUAGAACACCAGGUGGGUGAGAGUGAUAGACGAGAUUUAUGAAAAAAAUUCAUGUAAAAUAACAAUGAAGUUUCGGUUAAAAUAAUAAAUUUAAUUUGUAAUAUUUAUAAUGAUAAAUUUACACAGAAUACUUGCCAUUUGCAUAUUUUUUAUAAGUUUAUUUUAUUUUUUAAAAUAAAGUUUAUAUAAAGGUAUGAAAUGCAAAACUACCUUAUAAUAAUAUUUAUUAAUCGUUAAAAUUUUGAUUUUUUUAAUACUUUGUCUAAUCGAGUUGGUGUCGAGUUAGUCAAUGAUAUAAUUUAGACAUAUAAUUAGACAACAGUGUAAAAGUGUAGAUACAUAGAUCACAAUGCGCGUGAUAAGCAAAUUUUAUGUAAAAAAAAACUCAUAUAAAUAUUAUAUUAAUAGAUGAGAACAUCUGUAUUUAAUAAUUAGACAACAGUGUAAAAAUGUAGACACAUAGAUUACAAUGGGCGUGAUAAGCAAAUUUUAUGUAAAAAAACUCAUAUAAAUAUUAUAUUAAUAGAUGAGAACAUCAGUAUUUAAAAAAAAAAAUCCAGAAAGCUGAUUGCAUACCAAGGCUUGGAACAUGGCAAUCAUGGUACACAAAAAAGCCAAAAAAAAUUUAGCAAUAAGAUUUCAUAAAGAUAUAAAUUGUUUACAACAGUAAAUUAACACAAGAAAAUAAAAAUAAAACAAAGUAGAAAACUAACCCCCACCCCCAAUUUGCCGUCCACAGUAGUUGUGACCUUAUUAUAUAAUCUUCAAUCCUUAAUAAUCUAUACUAUAUAUAUAGAACACAGACACUUAAAACAUGCAAUAAGCAAACCAUGAUAAUGACCCAAAUUUUAUGUGAAAAUAUUAAACCAAGCAAGCAUCAUAAGCAACAAUCCCAUCCAUGAUCUUGGCCACACUAUCUUUGGACUCCUUUAACACCUUGAUGCUGUUUUUAAGCUUCUCACGCUUUGCAACAAUGGCAGGAGAUUCCACCAGCAUCAUCUUUAUCCCAUGUCCAUCUGGUCCCAUCAGCUCCUUCACAAUCUCAUCAAUGUCAUUGUGUACAAGAUUAUGAACAUGGUAUCGUAAAUGCAAUGCCAUGGAAUCAACCAAUCUCACCUUAAAUACCUUCCAAUAAGCAACCAUUCUCAUCUUCAGGUCGAAAGCUUGUUGCAGGAUCGAAACAUCCGAGUGUUUUCUGAGAUGUUCGAUUUGGAUUUCCCCUAAACCUUCGAGAUCCACACUGCAAGGCAGCGGCCGCAUGUUUGUUCCAGAUAUUUGGUUCAUGAAAUGGUCUUGUUGCUUCAUGAGCUUAUUCCACUCCAUCAUGUAAUCAGGGUUACAUGUGUAGCCUGUUAGCUUCUCCAUUUCUACAAUCUCUUUCACCCUAUUGAUUGAUUGCUCCCUCAGCUUUUGAACAAGGUUGUGAGCAGCUCCUUUUGCGGAUACCUUGAGGUGAUAAUACAUUUCCGAGUGGCGCGUCAAAACAGACAUCACCACAUCGUCUAUGUAAUCCCAAUACUUUUCGCUGAGUUUGAUAGGGAGAUACGAUAUCCUCUCGACUUUUCUCCGUAAGAUACGAAGGAAUGCUUCACAGGGAAGGAAGUUCGGUAGUUCGAUCCCCCUAGCAUCUUCCAAACCCUUGAUCUCUUCUGUUAAAAAGUCUUUUGAUAGAUUACUUUCCUCGCAGUUGUGAAGCUCAUCGGAGAACCGGUUCAGCAUUUCAACAAACCGAGCAGUCCCGUGCUUCGUGUUGUCCUCGGGGUAUUCAUCAAAUUCCCCCCUCCAAAGAAGUUUCUUCAGGGAUUCUUUAGCUGCUUGAAUGAUCCUCAUCAUAGCUUGAGUGGCAUCAGCAAUAGAAGUUAAGGCCUUUGGCAUUUUCUCUAGCUCUGAAACAUUUGCAUCCAGCUUUGCACUAAUGUUUUUAACAAUCUCUGGCAAGCACUUUGCAAUCGCAUUAGCUUGAAUUCGGACAAGAUUUUGAGCCAAAACAUGAACCCCCACAAUUGAUUUAUCAAUACGUGACAAAUGUGCAUUAGUUUCGAACAAUCUAGCCUCUUCCUUCCUUGCUUCUUCAUAGGAUUCAUCACCAAUCCGAUUCCGAACACAAACAUAACCAAGUCCUAUAUUCACAUCAUCUGCAGUAACCUUGUCAACAAGCCCUUCGGGGGCCCUAUCUACUUUAGUAACCACGGCAAGAGUUCUCUCACCAUUCUUGUCCACUUGUUGCGACAUCCUAAUGGAUUCACAAGUUGAAAAAUCAACCGUAGCCGACAGAACAUUAAGGAUAAUGCUUUCCUUUGGUGUUAUGUACUGCAUGAUGAUGUCCCGGAUCUGCUCAUAUAUGUUGUCGGGCUGACCAUGGACAGGAACUCUGGUAAUUCCAGGAAGAUCAACCAUGGUAAGAUCAGGAACCCCAUCUUUUCUCACCACCAAAGUCAAAGGGAUGUCAGAUAUGCUCUUACCCGGGCCUGCAACCUCAUCCGUUGCAAUGUUUAUGGCUGUUGCAAUCUGGGGUUCCUCCACUGGGACCGUUUUGCCAUUGUACUCCAAGUAGAGCUCUGGCCUUGGACUUGCAUGGUUCUGCAACCUGAUUAUGAGAGGUACCCUGGUGCAAAUGCCCUGGCUACGAGGAAGGUUAACACCAGCCAAGGAUUCAAGAACACUAGACUUGCCUGAUGACUGGUCUCCAACCACAACAAUUGUGGGGAGCUGUAUGCCUUCUUUCAUCACCAUGAGCAGCCUGAGCCUGUCGAUGACGUCAAGCAAAGGUCGGAUUUUGUCAUUGUAUGAUGAAAUAAUUGGGGCUUGAACUGCUGCUGCUCCCACCACCUUAGGUUCUUCCAUAGAAGGAGUUGCUGGUUGAGAAUCUUCAUAAUCAUUGAUGACACCAAUGGUCCCUGAAUCAGCUUCAUCAUAGCUUCCCAUUUUCUAGAAGUCGAGACAGGACGGGAAUUGGCCAAACUUGAUGUUUUAGAUGGUUUUUUUUGUUGGAAGUUGGAAAGCAAUAAACUUGAACUAAAGUGAAGACAAAUUCAAUGAAGCAUGUUUGGCUUUAUAAUGAAAAUUAAAAUAGGGUAAAGCACCAAAAAUAGGAACAAUAAAGCGAUAGCAUCCUAUACCAAACCCCAAGAAACAAGCAAAGGAAGCUAUAAUGGGAAUGGAAAACUUUAGGUUAUACUUUGAAUUGUAGAAAAUAAUGAUACAAGGACAGAAGAGAGGAAACAGAACAAAAUCAAAUCGUGACCGACCAAAAGAUGAGUGUGUCGAUGACAGAAAGUUCGAAACAUAAACAGCACCACUAGUUCCUACAGGAACUAGACAGCA